CAAAAUCUACAUAGAGACAAAAAGUUCCAUGGAAUAUGGUAGAAGCUGCUCCGGAAAGAUGAACAAACAAGUUCUACUUGUGGCCGCAUUUUGUAUAUGCUAUCAGUGAAAAAUUUGAAACGAAAACGACAAAAAAACGAGCCCCCAGUUGCGUUUUGGUUCCAAAGGUUUUGUAUUAUCAUAACGAGAUUUUAGGUCCGGCCUCCUCGACCGCAGACAGUGGGUCAAAAUAACAUGCACCAGUUGAGAUAAUACUACUACGAGUGUAAUAACUACGAACUGACGUCAACUGAUUAGUGAACAUGGGUGGUAAUAAUUGUAUACUAGCCUGAAAAUGGGAAACUUUGAGCACGUACUCCCAUACUUCUAUCUAUGCGUAUACUCGCCCUUCUUAUGUGACCCCAAUAACUUUGUUGUGUUAACUGUUUACUAGAUAAACCAAUGUGCCUUAUCUAGUCUUAUUUCAUCGAUUAGCUUAUACUUUACAACUAACGAGAAUGAGAAUAUAUAGCUAUAUUUCUAUUAUAUUCAUUAUAAAAGAUUCAUAAACCAUCAAAGGAAUAUAAAUGCGUUGUUUUUAGGGUUCAAAAUUCUUUAUGAAAAUCAUAAUCAGGUUGACCUUGAAAAGAAGUCCUUUGGAGUACCAAAACUUGUUUUCUAUAUGUUUCAAAACAACCCUUAAACUUGUGGCCCUCUUUUCUCACUCUCUUUUUACUCUCUAUAAGCUAUCGUCAAAAUGUUUGCAUUAAUUCUCUCUUUCAUUGACUGAAAUCUCAAUUAAAUGGUAGGGACAAAAUGAAAUAGAAAAAGUGCAUAUUGCGUCUAUCAUGAGAAGACGUCAGCAUCUGAUGAAUUUACGAUGACGUUGGCUAAUUGAAGUCUAAGCGAGAGAGCGAUGGGAAAGUAUAUGUAUGUAUAUCGCGAUGUAUAGUACAUACAUUUAGCAUUUGCGCCAACUAUUUAUAAAGAAAAACCGUAGCGGCGACUACAAAUUGCAGUUGAAAGCCUGCCAAUAAGCAAAUGAACUCGAAUGGAAGAGCGGAUGAAAAGUAAGAGAGCCGGUUGAACCGGUAGAGAAAACUACUACACACGAAAGUGAGCCAAAAGUCACCCGAUAAGGCUUCUUAUCGCCUGCAGUUCUCGUAGCCCCCCACUCCUUCAACCACGGUGCAUAGGUCAACAACACUACGGAGCCUCAAGGUUCUAGAACUUGUCAUAAAAGUGGUGAGCACGCGGAAAUGAUUCACUCUGCUGCUCUGUAGAUUUGGAUUACGAAACACCAGAGAAAUGGGAACGAUUACGCGACUUUUCAACUGCACUGCCGCCAGUGGGGAAAAAUAUUUGAAUUUUUUUUAAGGGCCCAGGGUUUCUGUUCACUGCGUAUCACGCCCACUCACCGAACUGGAAACUGAAUCUGGGAUGUGGUGAUUAGCUGCUGGCUACUGGCUGGGUCCGCUGCUGCUGCUGCACUGGAGGAGAGCGGUUAACGCUUUUAUUUUCGGUCCGUGUCGCUGCUGCCGCCGCUGCCGAUGCCUCUGCUACCGCUGACUGCGGCGUCAACGUGAAAUUCCAAAGCGAAA
Long non-coding RNA from Drosophila simulans, 1580 nucleotides. RefSeq lists it as uncharacterized. Lineage: Eukaryota; Metazoa; Arthropoda; Insecta; Diptera; Drosophilidae. The transcript is spliced from 2 exons. The record is from RefSeq and is a predicted model, not a curated record.